RNAcentral lists this long non-coding RNA (652 nucleotides) under Nicotiana benthamiana. RNAcentral describes it as "long non-coding RNA (NBEN_LNC006730)". The record is from RNAcentral. Lineage: Eukaryota; Viridiplantae; Streptophyta; Magnoliopsida; Solanales; Solanaceae.
GGUUAUAUGAGCAGCAGCAAUUCUCCUCCCUUUGUUAAACUUGGUACUUUCUGGAUACCCAUGAAACUUGUAACACUUAUCAAUUCAGUGCCCAGACUUCUUGCAGUAUCUACAGAAUAGAUGUCCUUUGGUUUGGUCAAAAUUAACUUUUUGUGUAUACUGUCUGAGAGAAGAAGGGUUGGGCACUGCAACUUGAUUCAUUCCAAAAGAAGGUGUAGAAUUUUUGUUUGUGUUGACACUGAAAGACAUAGAAUCAGGAUUGAAUUGGGAGAUGGACUGGACUUGUCUUUUUUUCUCAUCAUUGAGGAGUAUGUUAUAGACACUGUCAAGGAUAGGGGAGGCUGCAUCAUCAGCAAGUUGCUCCUUACCCCCAUAUAUGUCUCAUUAAGGCCCAUGAGGAAUUCGAACACCUUAUUCUCCUCAUCCUCCUAUAUGAUGCCACUUUUGGCAGCACAAAUGCACUUUUGGCCAUGAUUUGUACACACUACUCCUAAAUCAUCCUACAUUCCUUUGAGCUUGUUAAAAUAUGAUGCUAUAUCUAGAGGUCUUUGAGAAGUAUGAGAGAGUUCUCUUUUGAGUUAAAAUUUUUUGGUUCUAUUAGCUGUACCAUAUCUGGCUUCGAGUUGUGCCCAUAUACUCUGUGUAGUCUCAG